GGUGUUUACUGUCGAACUGAACACUCUACCGUUUACUGUCUGGUGGUGCUCUUCACCGAGUGCCACCAGUGGUCGGUACGUUUACUUUGAAAAAAUUAGAGUGCUCAAAGCGGUUUUUACACGACCGAAUACUGUUGCAUGGAAUAAUGAAAUAGGACUUUGGUUCUAUUUUGUUGGUCUUCGGAACCAAGGUAAUGAUUAAGAGGGACAGACGGGGGCAUUAGUAUUGCGACGCUAGAGGUGAAAUUCUUGGACCGUCGCAAGACUAACUAAAGCGAAAGCAUUUGCCAAGAAUGUUUUCAUUAAUCAAGAACGAAAGUUAGAGGUUCGAAGGCGAUCAGAUACCGCCCUAGUUCUAACCAUAAACGAUGCCAACCAGCAAUCAGCCUGUGUUCUCUUGAUGACACGGCUGGCGGCUUCCGGGAAACCAAAGUCUUUCGGUUCCAGGGGAAGUAUGGUUGCAAAGCUGAAACUUAAAGGAAUUGACGGAAGGGCACCACCAGGAGUGGAGCCUGCGGCUUAAUUUGACUCAACACGGGGAAACUCACCCGGCCCGGACACUGUGAGGAUUGACAGGUUGAAGCCCUUUCUUGAUUCAGUGGGUGGUGGUGCAUGGCCGUUCUUAGUUGGUGGAGUGAUUUGUCUGGUUAAUUCCGAUAACGAACGAGACUCUAGCCUACUAAUUAGACCGUGGCGUCCUCGUGCCGCCACGGCGCUUCCUAGAGGGACAGACGG
RNAcentral lists this ribosomal RNA (735 nucleotides) under uncultured eukaryote. RNAcentral describes it as "SSU rRNA". It matches the Rfam family "Eukaryotic small subunit ribosomal RNA", at positions 671 to 1426 of the family's 1831-position model. The record is from RNAcentral.